RNAcentral lists this ribosomal RNA (467 nucleotides) under uncultured bacterium. Its description in RNAcentral is "partial 16S ribosomal RNA". It matches the Rfam family "Bacterial small subunit ribosomal RNA", at positions 28 to 507 of the family's 1533-position model. The record is from RNAcentral.
GAUGAACGCUGACAGAAUGCUUAACACAUGCAAGUCAACUUGAAUUUGGGUUUUUAACUUAGGUUUGGGUGGCGGACGGGUGAGUAACGCGUAAAGAACUUGCCUCACAGCUAGGGACAACAUUUGGAAACGAAUGCUAAUACCUAAUAUUAUGAUAAUAGGGCAUCCUAUAAUUAUGAAAGCUAUAAGCGCUGUGAGAGAGCUUUGCGUCCCAUUAGCUAGUUGGAGAGGUAACGGCUCACCAAGGCGAUGAUGGGUAGCCGGCCUGAGAGGGUGAUCGGCCACAAGGGGACUGAGACACGGCCCUUACUCCUACGGGGGGCAGCAGUGGGGAAUAUUGGACAAUGGACCGAGAGUCUGAUCCAGCAAUUCUGUGUGCACGAUGAAGUUUUUCGGAAUGUAAAGUGCUUUCAGUUGGGAAGAAACAAGUGACGGUACCAACAGAAGAAGUGACGGCUAAAUACGUG